GAUGAACGCUGGCGGCGUGCCUAACACAUGCAAGUCGAACGGAGAUUACGGACGGAAGUUUUCGGAUGGAAGCCUGUAAUUCUUAGUGGCGGACGGGUGAGUAACGCGUGGGCAACCUGCCCUAUACAGGGGGAUAGCAGCUGGAAACGGCUGGUAAGACCGCAUAAGUCGGUUAAAUCGCAUGAUUUGAUCGGGAAAUGAGCAAUCAGGUAUAGGAUGGGCCCGCGUCCGAUUAGCCAGUUGGCAGGGUAAAAGCCUACCAAAGCGACGAUCGGUAGCCGGACUGAGAGGUCGGACGGCCACAUUGGGACUGAGACACGGCCCAAACUCCUAAGGGAGGCAGCAGUGGGGGAUAUUGAACAAUGGAGGAAACUCUGAUGCAGCGACGACGCGUGAGUGAAGAAGUAUUUCGGUAUGUAAAGCUCUAUCAGCAGGGAAGAUGAUGACGGUACCUGACUAAGAAGCCCCGGCUAACUACGUG
RNAcentral lists this ribosomal RNA (481 nucleotides) under uncultured bacterium. RNAcentral's name for it is "partial 16S ribosomal RNA". It matches the Rfam family "Bacterial small subunit ribosomal RNA", at positions 28 to 507 of the family's 1533-position model. The record is from RNAcentral.